AACAUAACCUUUAGCCACUAAACAAGUAUUAAAGGCAACGCCUGCCCAGUGAACAAUUAAACGGCCGCGGUACCCUAACCGUGCAAAGGUAGCGUAAUCAUUUGUCUAUUAAUUGUAGACCAGUAUGAAAGGCAAAAUGAGGGUUUGACUGUCUCUUAUAAUAAAUCAAUUAAACUGAUCUCCCAGUAAAAAAGCUGGCAUACCCACAUAAGACCAGAAGACCCUGUGAAGCUUAAACUAAACUAUUAAACCCUAUAAUAGCUACUUUCGGUUGGGGCGACCUUGGAAAAAAAAAGAACUUCCAAAUACAAUGACUUUAACUCAUACACCCAGGCACACAAGCCCAUUAAUGACCCAGCAUAGCUGAUAAUUGAACCAAGUUACUCCAGGGAUAACAGCGCUAUCUUCUUCAAGAGUCCAUAUCAAAAAGAAGGUUUACGACCUCGAUGUUGGAUCAGGACAUCCUAAUGGUGCAACCGCUAUUAAGGGUUCGUUUGUUCAACGAUUAACAGUCCUACGUGAUC
This 524-nucleotide ribosomal RNA is filed under the name Hypsirhynchus parvifrons. RNAcentral describes it as "partial 16S ribosomal RNA". It matches the Rfam family "Bacterial large subunit ribosomal RNA", at positions 1812 to 2605 of the family's 2925-position model. The record is from RNAcentral. Lineage: Eukaryota; Metazoa; Chordata; Lepidosauria; Squamata; Dipsadidae.